Molecule: ribosomal RNA, 398 nt
Filed under: uncultured bacterium
Lineage: Bacteria
Description: bacterial SSU rRNA
Rfam family: Bacterial small subunit ribosomal RNA
Source: RNAcentral
AAUCAACGCUGGCGGCGUGCCUCAGACAUGCAAGUCGAACGAUUAAAGCUCUCUUCGGAGAGUGUAUAGAGUGGCGCACGGGUGAGUAACACGUAAGUAAUCUACCUUCGAGUGGGGAAUAACGUUCGGAAACGGACGCUAAUACCGCAUAAUGCAGCGGCAUCGCAAGAUGACAGUUGUUAAAGAUUUAUCGCUUGAAGAGGAGCUUGCGGCAGAUUAGCUAGUUGGUAAGGUAAUGGCUUACCAAGGCUACGAUCUGUAUCCGGUCUAAGAGGACGGUCGGACACACUGACACUGAAUAACGGGUCAGACUCCUACGGGAGGCAGCAGGUCGGGAAUUUUGGGCAAUGGGCGAAAGCCUGACCAGCAACGCCGCGUGAAGGAUGAAGUAUUUACGG